RNAcentral lists this ribosomal RNA (253 nucleotides) under uncultured bacterium. Its description in RNAcentral is "partial 16S ribosomal RNA". It matches the Rfam family "Bacterial small subunit ribosomal RNA", at positions 524 to 776 of the family's 1533-position model. The record is from RNAcentral.
UACGUAGGGUCCGAGCGUUGUCCGGAAUUACUGGGCGUAAGGAGCUCGUAGGUGGUUUGUCGCGUUGUUCGUGAAAACUCACAGCUUAACUGUGGGCGUGCGGGCGAUACGGGCAGACUUGAGUACUGCAGGGGAGACUGGAAUUCCUGGUGUAGCGGUGGAAUGCGCAGAUAUCAGGAGGAACACCGGUGGCGAAGGCGGGUCUCUGGGCAGUAACUGACGCUGAGGAGCGAAAGCGUGGGGAGCGAACAGG